GCAAGUCGAACGAGAACGGGUAUUAGCUUGCUAAUACUGUCAGCUAAGUGGCGCGCGGGUGAGUAAUAUAUAGUUAACCUGCCCUAGAGAAGGGGAUAACGUUUGGAAACGGACGCUAAUACCUCAUAUGCCUUUAAGUCAAAAGACUGCAAGGGAAACAUUUAUGGCUCUAGGAUGGGACUGUACGGUAUCAGAUAGUUGGUGAGGUAAUGGCUCACCAAGUCAAUGACGCCUAACUGGUUUGAGAGGAUGAUC
RNAcentral lists this ribosomal RNA (255 nucleotides) under uncultured bacterium. RNAcentral describes it as "partial 16S ribosomal RNA". It matches the Rfam family "Bacterial small subunit ribosomal RNA", at positions 57 to 305 of the family's 1533-position model. The record is from RNAcentral.